AUUCUCCAUAAAGUGCAAUCCGCACGCAAUGUAGGAGCUGCGAUUAGGUGAAUGAACCGGGUAUUUUCAAACUUUCCUCCACUGGACACCCCACCACGACUCGAGAACGAGAAUGGAAGCGCCGGUUAUAGGCAGAAGUUGUCACUGCGCUUCAUUGACAUCCCACGGGAAUUCUUCAGCAGCGCAGUAUCUUCUUUGGCCAAACGGACGUGCUGUGCUCCACUGGUUGGAGUGGAGGAAAAGUUUUCAGUAGGCGAUCGUUCGAGAAUACGGGGGUAAGUGUUUCUGUUGCGCCGCAGGAAGCACAGAGUGAACUGCAUCAGUGUCCGCCUUUGAUGGCGCAUCCGUCCAGCCACCGUGACACAUCCUGCGUACGGUGCUCCAGUAACAUGUGUCUGACGCAGCGACAUAAACCACGCCCACGAACACGUGGUGGACAUGAUCUUGUAGCUGAAACUCGCUUAUGAGAGUGCUGUCCGAGCAGGUGGUGGUGGAUCAGCAAAAAAGCGUCAUCCAGUUAGCAAAAAACAUGCGGACUAAUGUCGCAGUCAUUUUCGCGAGAUGCAAAUCGCUUCCUAAUUGCCGGCAAUGCGCACCUGCAGCGGAACCCACCGACACCGCGAGCUGCAAUUGCACAGAGUUGGUAAAACGACGCACGAUAUGGCUGUCAUUGUCUGCUUGCUGUAGGCGAACAAGCGCUGCACGUGAGCCACUCCGGUGGACAAUGUUGUAAGCAGUGAAUUCGUCCUGCGCGAUGAACAUCCGCUUUGAAAACAGUAGAAUGCGCUUUCCCUUAACAAUCCCUUAGACAACGACGGCGGUGAUGACGAUCCUAUAUAGUCAACAGCACUAUUUCUGCUGCGCCGUUCGACACGAAUUUAUACGACAUCCCGUUUGUUGGGUUCUGAAUACUUAUUCAACAGGUGUAAGCGAGAGAUACAUGGAUAGUAACGUGAUCUGCCGUUGUGUGUUAUUGCAUUGGUGCAUAUCUAUGUCUAUGUCAUGUAUUUUAUGUUACAUUGGCGACGCCAUUUUUACACCAGCGAAGAUAUGUUCAAACUGAUAAAACUGGGCCAUUAAUGAAAGUAGUACAACGUCCCAGAAUUCCUACGUAAUGAUAGCUGCUACUACGAAAGCACUGGAGAAUGGGGGCUGAUUUGGAGAGUAAGGGGAGGCGGGUGCAAUCUAACACAAUGUAUCAAAGUGCGAGCUGUCACGAUGAUAGAACGCGUGAAACUGGCACGUGGCACAUACGCCAAACAUCUCCAAGGGCUAGUCGGCUUUGGCCCAAGAGGAGUAUGCGUGCGAGUGUGGCCCUGUCCUUCUGCUUCCGGUCACGCAAGUGCACGGUCACGGAAUGGCGAGAUCCGUCGGAGCGCCAUCGGCGACGUUUAGUCGCGGAACCAGGGUUGCUGACGAAGCAGAUGAAGAUUGCGAGAUUAUUUCGCCGCACCAGCGGAUAGAUCGGCUUGCUAUUAACCCAAUAUUUUUGCAUGGACACGUGCGCGUUAAGUCCUUCCGUGCGGAAGAUUCCCUAGACAAGUGGGCCAAGGUUGGUGCGCUGCAAGAAGUCGUGGGGCGGGGGGCACGUAUAAUUAACCACGUCUGUGCAGUGCUGCUCGGCACUGCGGAAGCGACGAAGAAGCUCGCUGAUCUGAAGGAACUACAGGUGAAGGGUCGCCGGUGCCUUGUCAUGGAACCCUUUCGAGCAGCAGGUGAAGGUUCGACUGCCAACGGCUCUGGCUGCCUUCGGCAAGGUCACCGAAGUGACGCGCUGGUGGGUCGAAGGCGGCAGCGACAAUGUGUCUACCACCAGCGCCUAGCAGCUAAAGCUUAAGACUGGUUUUAAAGUUGACGACUUGCCGCACCAGAUCCGGGUUGUCCGCAAACUGGCCUUAGUGGUCGCGCCUGGCUGACCCACUGUGUGCCUGCAUUGCCAGGGACCCGCUCACAUUCGCCAAGGCUACAAGGUGACGCGAUGUUGCUGAUGCCUAUGGUUGGGGAAUGUCAACGCUCAGUGCGCCUUUUUGCACGCCACGGUAACGGUCUAUAGCGGGAUGCAAAACGAGUACGCCAUGGACGCCAAGGAGGCGGAACACGAGGCAAGUGGCGUCGCAGACGCGACGUCACCAGUGAUGACAGGAGUGGCGUCUCCUUCAGAAAACAGGCGGAACCGGGUAACCGAAGACCACAUCGAGGGAGCACUGCUGGCCAAUUUAGCGAAGACUGAAAGACAGCGAAAGUUGUCGAGUACCAGUCAUGGCUGUGAAAGUUGAUCUCACGAACGAGGGCCAACCGGCGGAUGGCACCACUCUUCAGUACCCCCGUAUGCAGAAAUGCAACUUAAGUUGAAGCCCAUGCUUGACUUGAUCCGAGUGACGCCUAUCGGGAACGCGCCGAAGGAAACGCAGUGAGCUUCUUUGGGCACGUUAGCGCCAGGCGUCAUCUAAAUCAAGUCAAGCAUGUGCUUCGACUUAAGUUGCAUUUCUGCAUACGGGGGUUAGUGCUGGCGUCGUCGUACAGAUCAAGAGGCCUCGAUAUGGUGCGGCAAGCAUGGUAGACGGAACGACUAUCAAGGAGCUCUUGAGAAACCGCAAAAAAAGGUGACUCUACGAAGGUGCGCAACCGUGAUGACCAAGCUUCAUGCCCCAACAGAACGGAGGCCUCGGUCGCCUACAGUGCUUCCCGCUAUCGUUGUGCUUGGGUGUUACUUGCUUUGCUGGGCAUAACUUCGCCCAAUAAUGAGUUAAAUGUGUCAGUCACAGUUUUGCCACUGAAUCGUUCUUGACCGUCACUACAACGUGGAAAUUCCGAUCAGCGGGUCAAGCAGUGGGUGGACAGUGGAGCUAGUUUCGGUAUCGGCAAUAAAGCGUCUCCAUGACACUGGUAGCCAAAAGAAAAUUCAAUAGCCUUUGCAUAUGUGGCUCUAUCUUUCCAACUUACCUAACGAUAAAAUGAAGUGACGCAACAAUGUGUAGAAAUAAAACGUGCUUUUGGCUAUUUUCUUUUUCGGCGUCUUAUAUGUUUAUUUGGUCGCUUCAUUUGUUGCGCCAAGCGGCGGCACUUUCGCUCUUAUCGCUUCGGCUGCCAUUCUCUACGUCUGCUGCUGCCGUUUUUUAUGUAGUACGUGCACGUUUUUUCGUAUGCUCUGCAGUUUAAAACUUUCUGUGCCUGCGAAUGUUCCGGCAAUGUCGGAAAAACUCGGGGAAGGAUACAAGACUUGCUGCGUGGCUGUGUAAUGUGGCAACUCGGGGAGCAACACAAGGGCAACAUUCCGUUUUCUAGCGGACGGGAGGGGAUAGACAAGGGCACAAUCGGAAGGCGCUGUCUCCAUUGAAGAGCUUACGCCUGCCGAGGCCACGGGACACCGAGGAGCCUAAGUAACAAAGCGGCCGCUGCCGGCAGAGAGCAGCGCGCAUGCACCUCUCGACGCAUGGAUGUGGUCUCUCCAAGGCCCACCUUGCGCGCGCGAACCCAGAACGCACGCAAUCAGGAGCCUCGAAUCCCACCAAAAAGUCGGCCAAUGGGGUAAAAAGAAGUCCAAGUUCAAGAAGAAGAAGUUCAAGAAGUCCAAGAGCACCGCAUCUGGAUUGAAAAAACGGAUGGAGCCUUGGAGCCUACCAACGCGGAGGUCGAUGGGGCCUGUUUCAAGGACGGCGAGGCAGCGCUGACUGCUGUCACCAAGAGGUCUGGUGCACGGUCGCGGUGAUCCUCUUCGCCAGCCGCGCAGAAGUCCGAGUCUGCUGCGGCGUUGCCCCCUCACGUGCCGUAUCAGCAUACCUUGCGGUGAUCGAGUUCCUAACCAAACUCAUUAAGGAGGUCCGAUAAGCACGAUAGUUACCAGCCAUUAGGUUGUCUACGGCACUCCCAAGGAUAAUGAGCCACAAAAUUCGGGUGCUUGAUUACGUGAGCAUAUUGUGAUUAUGUCAUAGGGUCUACCGUGGUCCUGGUUCGAAGCGGACGCUCUUCGCCGCAUACCUUAUUGAAAAAGUGCUUGUCGAGACUGUGAGCAAAGUGAAUCUUUGACAGGCAGCCGAAAAGACCACUUGGCGACUUCGGGAAAAAUUUGCAACAUAUCGGCUUGUUCACCGGUGCCCAAAGUUUAUAUGGAUCAUAUGCUCCCUGCAAGGGCACUGAUUCACGAUGAAUCAACCACUUGUCUGCAGGUCAAAUAACUCUCCAGGGCUUCUCUCCUUGAACACAGUGUUGCAACACUGCGCACAACAUAAAUUGAUUUCGGUUGAACGAAGGAGAGAGAGCACGAGCUUGGUGCUGAAGAUGACGACGCUAUGAGGCUUCUCUGCUGUGCCAUUUCUUGGUCAUGUGGCUCAGCUUAAAAGACCACCGAUGGAGUUGGGCAUCGCUGAAUGCGGACAGCUUUAUCGCUAGAACUUCGUCCCAGCAAAUUCGUGCAAACAAACUGGCUGUUGUGUGCAACGAGACAUAGCAAGAAUGCAUGUGACGGUGUUGGCGGUGUCAACCUCCG
Non-coding RNA from Dermacentor albipictus, 4486 nucleotides. NCBI's taxonomy places the organism in Eukaryota, Metazoa, Arthropoda, Arachnida, Ixodida, Ixodidae. The record is from RefSeq and is a predicted model, not a curated record.